CCUACGUGAUGCUGCAGUGAGGAAUAUUGGUCAAUGUGCGCGCGCCUGCACCAGCCAUGUAGCGUGAAGGAUGCCGGCCCGACGGGUUGUAAACUUCUGUUAUAAAGGAAUAACAUGUGACACGUGUGCCUUGUUGUAUGUACCUUAUGAAUAAGGAUCGGCUAAAUCAGUGCCAGCAGCCGCGGUAAUAAGGAGGAUCCGAGCGUUAUCCGGAUUUCUUGGGUUUAAAGGGAGCGGAGGUGGGUUGUUAAGUCAGUUGAGAAAGUUUGAUGCUCAACCGGAAAAUUGCAAUUGAAACUGGCAGUCUUGAGUACAGUUGAGGUAGGCGGAAUGCGUGGUGUAGCGGUGAAAUGCUUAGAUAUCACGAAGAACUCCGAUUGCGAAGGCAGCUUACUAGCCUGCCACUGACAUUGAUGCUCGAAAGUGUGGGUAUCAAACAGGAUUAGAUACCCGAGUAGUC
RNAcentral lists this ribosomal RNA (460 nucleotides) under uncultured bacterium. RNAcentral's name for it is "partial 16S ribosomal RNA". It matches the Rfam family "Bacterial small subunit ribosomal RNA", at positions 338 to 795 of the family's 1533-position model. The record is from RNAcentral.